UACGGAGGGAGCUAGCGUUGUUCGGAAUUACUGGGCGUAAAGCGCGCGCAGGCGGUCUUCCAAGUCAGUGGUGAAAGCCUGGAGCUCAACUCCAGAACUGCCAUUGAAACUGUUAGACUUGAGUACGAGAGAGGUGAGUGGAAUUCCCAGUGUAGAGGUGAAAUUCGUAGAUAUUGGGAAGAACACCAGUGGCGAAGGCGGCUCACUGGCUCGUAACUGACGCUCAGGCGCGACAGCGUGGGGAUCAAACAGG
This 253-nucleotide ribosomal RNA is filed under the name uncultured bacterium. Its description in RNAcentral is "partial 16S ribosomal RNA". It matches the Rfam family "Bacterial small subunit ribosomal RNA", at positions 524 to 776 of the family's 1533-position model. The record is from RNAcentral.